RNAcentral lists this small RNA (190 nucleotides) under Arabidopsis thaliana (thale cress). RNAcentral's name for it is "ATSL128530". The record is from RNAcentral. Lineage: Eukaryota; Viridiplantae; Streptophyta; Magnoliopsida; Brassicales; Brassicaceae.
GCUCGUCUGAAACAAAUGAUUUGAGUAUGUUUCGGUGAUAACUCAGGUCGUCGUCGACAAUGAACUUGACUUAGAACACAAGAAACACGAUCUACUGAGAGCUGUUCAAGACACUCAACGAGGACUCACUGCCACUUCUGAUCAACGAUCUAUCAUUGAGGAGGCUCUGGUACAGCCAUUGCAUUGGAUA